This is a non-coding RNA of Paramuricea clavata, 285 nucleotides long. The record is from the annotation of a GenBank genome assembly. Lineage: Eukaryota; Metazoa; Cnidaria; Anthozoa; Malacalcyonacea; Plexauridae.
GAUAGGAGUUUAUGUGAGUUGAUAGGAGUUGUUGAGAGUUGAUAGGAGUUUAUGUGAGUUGAUAGGAGUUGUUGAGAGUUGAUAGGAGUUGACGUGAAUAUCGCUUCGUCUCAAAGCCAGGUCAAAUGAGGUUGAAAGUUGAUGAGAGUUUGCAUGACAGUUUUCUCAACUCUCAAGCCCCGGUCAAACGAAAACGAUCUAGUUACAUGGAGGGGAAAUAGAAUCUGUUGCCGCCAAUUACAUGGAGGGGAAAUAGAAUUUGUUAUCGUGACAAUUACAUAGAGG